Molecule: ribosomal RNA, 790 nt
Filed under: uncultured Rhodospirillales bacterium
Lineage: Bacteria; Pseudomonadati; Pseudomonadota; Alphaproteobacteria; Rhodospirillales
Description: bacterial SSU rRNA
Rfam family: Bacterial small subunit ribosomal RNA
Source: RNAcentral
CUCAGAACGAACGCUGGCGGCAGGCCUAACACAUGCAAGUCGAACGAGGUGCCGGAGCUUGCUCUGGUUACCUAGUGGCGCACGGGUGAGUAACGCGUGGGAACCUGCCCUUGGGUGGGGAACAACCGCUGGAAACGGCGGCUAAUACCGCAUACGCCCUUUGGGGGAAAGACUUCGGUCGCCCAAGGAUGGUCCCGCGUCUGAUUAGCUAGUUGGUGAGGUAACGGCUCACCAAGGCGACGAUCAGUAGCUGGUCUGAGAGGAUGAUCAGCCACACUGGGACUGAGACACGGCCCAGACUCCUACGGGAGGCAGCAGUGGGGAAUAUUGGACAAUGGGGGAAACCCUGAUCCAGCCAUGCCGCGUGAGUGAAGAAGGCCUUAGGGUUGUAAAGCUCUUUCAGUCGUGAAGAUGGUGACUGUAGCGACAGAAGAAGCCCCGGCUAACUCCGUGCCAGCAGCCGCGGUAAUACGGAGGGGGCUAGCGUUGUUCGGAUUUACUGGGCGUAAAGCGCACGUAGGCGGAUCGAUCAGUCAGGGGUGAAAGGCCUGGGCUCAACCCGGGAACUGCCUUUGAUACUGUCGAUCUUGAAUCCGGGAGAGGUAAGCGGAAUUCCAAGUGUAGAGGUGAAAUUCGUAGAUAUUUGGAAGAACACCAGUGGCGAAGGCGGCUUACUGGACCGGUAUUGACGCUGAUGUGCGAAAGCGUGGGGAGCGAACAGGAUUAGAUACCCUGGUAGUCCACGCCGUAAACGAUGAGUGCUAGUUGUCGGGGGUUCGGCCUUCGGUGA